Molecule: long non-coding RNA, 389 nt
Filed under: Elaeis guineensis (African oil palm)
Lineage: Eukaryota; Viridiplantae; Streptophyta; Magnoliopsida; Arecales; Arecaceae
Description: long non-coding RNA (EGUI_LNC069874)
Source: RNAcentral
UCCCGACACAAUUAAAUAUACAACUCAUAACUUUUGUUAUUUGAUACAUCAUUAUUAAUCCACAUUUAAUUUUCAAUCAUCUAGCAUUUUCAUGUGCUUGAAUAUUUAUGGAAAGAACUAUUUUACCAUGUCAACCCAGUUAAUCUAUAGUCUUUCCAUACUUUUAGAGACAUACCAUUCAUUGAACUGGUCUCCAUACUUUCAGUGGCUACUUUUCUUCUAGUAACUAAGAUGAUCAUCUACAAAUAUGUGGACCUUGUAGUUAAUUACAAGAGUCCUUUAACAAUAUCAAGAGAUAACCUUCUGUAUUCAUAUGAACUCACCGUCAUCCACUACCUCACCCCUGAUACACCUCGAACAUAAAGCAAGUCCAUUCGUUGUCUCCAGAA